RNAcentral lists this ribosomal RNA (433 nucleotides) under uncultured bacterium. Its description in RNAcentral is "partial 16S ribosomal RNA". It matches the Rfam family "Bacterial small subunit ribosomal RNA", at positions 28 to 507 of the family's 1533-position model. The record is from RNAcentral.
GACGAACGCUGGCGGCAUGCUUAACACAUGCAAGUCGAACGGAAAGUCCCUGUUUAGUGGCUCCCCGGUUCGUGAACGGUUGGAACAUGCGUUUAGGUUCGGAACAGCACCUCGAAAUGGGCGCUGGAAACUGGUACUAUUAUCGGACCAAAGACUUAUUGCCUUUGGUUGGGGCCGAGUUUGUUUGGUUUGUUGGUAGGGCAAAAGCCUACAAAGGCGACGAUCCGUAGCUGGUCGGAGAGGAUGAUCAGCCACACUGGGACGGAGACACGGCCCAGACGCGUACGGGAGGCAGCAGUGAGGAAUAUUGGACAAUGGGCGAAAGCCUGAUCCAGCAAUGCCGCGUGAGUGAUGAAGGCCUUAGGGUUGUAAAGCUCUUUUACCCGGGAUGAUAAUGACAGUACCGGGAUAAUAAGCUCCGGCUAACUCCGUG